GACGAACGCUGGCGGCGUGCUUAACACAUGCAAGUCGAACGAGAAGAGAUGAGAAGCUUGCUUCUUAUUGAUUCGAGUGGCAAACGGGUGAGUAACGCGUAAGCAACCUGCCCUUCAGAUGGGGACAACAGCUGGAAACGGCUGCUAAUACCGAAUGCGUUCUUUUUGUCGCAUGGCAGAGGGAAGAAUGGGGAGGCUCUUCGGAGCUUUCGCUGAAGGAGGGGCUUGCGUCUGAUUAGCUAGUUGGAGGGUAACGGCCCACCAAGGCGACGAUCAGUAGCCGGUCUGAGAGGAUGAACGGCCACAUUGGGACUGAGACACGGCCCAGACUCCUACGGGAGGCAGCAGUGGGGAAUCUUCCGCAAUGGACGAAAGUCUGACGGAGCAACGCCGCGUGAACGAUGACGGCCUCGG
This 414-nucleotide ribosomal RNA is filed under the name uncultured bacterium. RNAcentral describes it as "bacterial SSU rRNA". It matches the Rfam family "Bacterial small subunit ribosomal RNA", at positions 28 to 420 of the family's 1533-position model. The record is from RNAcentral.